Rosa chinensis is the source of this 398-nucleotide long non-coding RNA. RefSeq lists it as uncharacterized. The record is from RefSeq and is a predicted model, not a curated record. NCBI's taxonomy places the organism in Eukaryota, Viridiplantae, Streptophyta, Magnoliopsida, Rosales, Rosaceae. The transcript has 3 exons.
UUGAAACUUGGUCAAAGUGAUGGACAUGGUGAGGUUCCAGCUAUAGAGUACUCGCAUAUCCCUUCGUUCUCGGACGACGUCAUUUCGGGCACUAAGGUAAAGUAAACUGUGGGCAUAUAUCAAGUACAAAGCAUGCUGAGUUUGUCUGAGAUUCUGAAAAGUACAAAGCAUUGGGGAGCAGAAGAUGAUUCGAGAAGCCAAUGGCGACCCCAACAAGGCUAACAAGCCGUUCAUGCGCUCCUCAUCGAGCAACCCCAAUAAAUAUUGAUUUCUUCACAUAAUAAACACCCAAUGGAAACCAAGGCCACCCAGAGUUCAUCAGUUGCUUCUUCUACGACGUCGUUUGGGAGCUCGAAGAAGAUGGUGUGGGUUUGGACGGAGAGCAAGCAGGUCAUGAC